UUCUUUGAUGACGAGUGGCGGACGGGUGAGUAAUGCUUGGGAAUCUAGCUUAUGGAGGGGGAUAACUACGGGAAACUGUAGCUAAUACCGCGUAGAAUCGGGAGAUGAAAGUGUGGGACCUUCGGGCCACAUGCCAUAGGAUGAGCCCAAGUGGGAUUAGGUAGUUGGUGAGGUAAAGGCUCACCAAGCCGACGAUCUCUAGCUGGUCUGAGAGGAUGACCAGCCACACUGGGACUGAGACACGGCCCAGACUCCUACGGGAGGCAGCAGUGGGGAAUAUUGCGCAAUGGGGGCAACCCUGACGCAGCCAUGCCGCGUGAAUGAAGAAGGCCUUCGGGUUGUAAAGUUCUUUCGGUAGCGAGGAAGGCAUUUAGUUUAAUAGACUAGGUGAUUGACGUUAACUACAGAAGAAGCACCGGCUAACUCCGUGCCAGCAGCCGCGGUAAUACGGAGGGUGCGAGCGUUAAUCGGAAUAACUGGGCGUAAAGGGCACGCAGGCGGUGACUUAAGUGAGGUGUGAAAGCCCCGGGCUUA
Molecule: ribosomal RNA, 534 nt
Filed under: uncultured Haemophilus sp.
Lineage: Bacteria; Pseudomonadati; Pseudomonadota; Gammaproteobacteria; Pasteurellales; Pasteurellaceae
Description: bacterial SSU rRNA
Rfam family: Bacterial small subunit ribosomal RNA
Source: RNAcentral